UUACAUGCAGUCGAGCGGAACGAGUUAUCUGAACCUUCGGGGAACGAUAACGGCGUCGAGCGGCGGACGGGUGAGUAAUGCCUAGGAAAUUGCCCUGAUGUGGGGGAUAACCAUUGGAAACGAUGGCUAAUACCGCAUAAUGCCUACGGGCCAAAGAGGGGGACCUUCGGGCCUCUCGCGUCAGGAUAUGCCUAGGUGGGAUUAGCUAGUUGGUGAGGUAAUGGCUCACCAAGGCGACGAUCCCUAGCUGGUCUGAGAGGAUGAUCAGCCACACUGGAACUGAGACACGGUCCAGACUCCUACGGGAGGCAGCAGUGGGGAAUAUUGCACAAUGGGCGCAAGCCUGAUGCAGCCAUGCCGCGUGUGUGAAGAAGGCCUUCGGGUUGUAAAGCACUUUCAGUCGUGAGGAAGGUGGUAUUGUUAAUAGCACUAUCAUUUGACGUUAGCGACAGAAGAAGCACCGGCUAACUCCGUGCCAGCAGCCGCGGUAAUACGGAGGGUGCGAGCGUUAAUCGGAAUUACUGGGCGUAAAGCGCAUGCAGGUGGUUUGUUAAGUCAGAUGUGAAAGCCCGGGGCUCAACCUCGGAAUAGCAUUUGAAACUGGCAGACUAGAGUACUGUAGAGGGGGGUAGAAUUUCAGGUGUAGCGGUGAAAUGCGUAGAGAUCUGAAGGAAUACCGGUGGCGAAGGCGGCCCCCUGGACAGAUACUGACACUCAGAUGCGAAAGCGUGGGGAGCAAACAGGAUUAGAUACCCUGGUAGUCCACGCCGUAGACGAUGUCUACUUGGAGGUUGUGGCCUUGAGCCGUGGCUUUCGGAGCUAACGCGUUAAGUAGACCGCCUGGGGAGUACGGUCGCAAGAUUAAAACUCAAAUGAAUUGACGGGGGCCCGCACAAGCGGUGGAGCAUGUGGUUUAAUUCGAUGCAACGCGAAGAACCCUUACCUACUCUUGACAUCCAGAGAACUUUCCAGAGAUGGAUUAGUGCCCUUC
Molecule: ribosomal RNA, 991 nt
Filed under: Vibrio sp. 5PC-22
Lineage: Bacteria; Pseudomonadati; Pseudomonadota; Gammaproteobacteria; Vibrionales; Vibrionaceae
Description: bacterial SSU rRNA
Rfam family: Bacterial small subunit ribosomal RNA
Source: RNAcentral